This 760-nucleotide ribosomal RNA is filed under the name uncultured bacterium. RNAcentral describes it as "bacterial SSU rRNA". It matches the Rfam family "Bacterial small subunit ribosomal RNA", at positions 55 to 809 of the family's 1533-position model. The record is from RNAcentral.
AUGCAGUCGAGCGGCAGCACGGGUACUUGUACCUGGUGGCGAGCGGCGGACGGGUGAGUAAUGCCUAGGAAUCUGCCUGAUAGUGGGGGAUAACGUUCGGAAACGGACGCUAAUACCGCAUACGUCCUACGGGAGAAAGUGGGGGAUCUUCGGACCUCACGCUAUCAGAUGAGCCUAGGUCGGAUUAGCUAGUUGGUAGGGUAAAGGCCUACCAAGGCUACGAUCCGUAACUGGUCUGAGAGGAUGAUCAGUCACACUGGAACUGAGACACGGUCCAGACUCCUACGGGAGGCAGCAGUGGGGAAUAUUGGACAAUGGGCGAAAGCCUGAUCCAGCCAUGCCGCGUGUGUGAAGAAGGUCUUCGGAUUGUAAAGCACUUUAAGUUGGGAGGAAGGGCAUUAACCUAAUACGUUAGUGUUUUGACGUUACCGACAGAAUAAGCACCGGCUAACUCUGUGCCAGCAGCCGCGGUAAUACAGAGGGUGCAAGCGUUAAUCGGAAUUACUGGGCGUAAAGCGCGCGUAGGUGGUUGGUUAAGUUGAAUGUGAAAUCCCCGGGCUCAACCUGGGAACUGCAUCCAAAACUGGCCAGCUAGAGUAUGGUAGAGGGUGGUGGAAUUUCCUGUGUAGCGGUGAAAUGCGUAGAUAUAGGAAGGAACACCAGUGGCGAAGGCGACCACCUGGACUGAUACUGACACUGAGGUGCGAAAGCGUGGGGAGCAAACAGGAUUAGAUACCCUGGUAGAAUCACUAGUGAAUUC